AACGCGAAGAACCUUACCUACUCUUGACAUCCAGAGAACUUAGCAGAGAUGCUUUGGUGCCUUCGGGAACUCUGAGACAGGUGCUGCAUGGCUGUCGUCAGCUCGUGUUGUGAAAUGUUGGGUUAAGUCCCGCAACGAGCGCAACCCUUAUCCUUUGUUGCCAGCGGUCCGGCCGGGAACUCAAAGGAGACUGCCAGUGAUAAACUGGAGGAAGGUGGGGAUGACGUCAAGUCAUCAUGGCCCUUACGAGUAGGGCUACACACGUGCUACAAUGGCAUAUACAAAGAGAAGCGACCUCGCGAGAGCAAGCGGACCUCAUAAAGUAUGUCGUAGUCCGGAUUGGAGUCUGCAACUCGACUCCAUGAAGUCGGAAUCGCUAGUAAUCGUAGAUCAGAAUGCUACGGUGAAUACGUUCCCGGGUCUUGUACACACCG
This 434-nucleotide ribosomal RNA is filed under the name uncultured bacterium. Its description in RNAcentral is "bacterial SSU rRNA". It matches the Rfam family "Bacterial small subunit ribosomal RNA", at positions 958 to 1392 of the family's 1533-position model. The record is from RNAcentral. RNAcentral also lists the same sequence under 1 other name.